This is a non-coding RNA of Dama dama (fallow deer), 508 nucleotides long. Lineage: Eukaryota; Metazoa; Chordata; Mammalia; Artiodactyla; Cervidae. The record is from the annotation of a RefSeq genome assembly.
UAAAGGGGCUGGGAGAGCCCAGCGCUGCUGCGGGCUCAGAGGCAGAGCUCAGGGCGCGUCCACCAUGGCCUGGACCCCUCUCCUGCUGCCCCUCCUCACUCUCUGCACAGCUCGUGUGGUCACUUCUCAGCUGACUCAGCCGCCUGCGGUGUCCGUGUCCUUGGGACAGAAGGCCAGCAUCACCUGCCAGGGAGACAAUUUAGCAUUUCUUGGUGCUAACUGGUACCAGCAGAAGCCGGGCCAGGCCCCUGUGACGGUCAUUUAUGGGAAUAGUGAGCGGGCCUCAGGGAUCCCUGACCGGUUCUCUGGCUCCAACUUGGGGGACACGGCCAACCUGACCAUCAGCGGGGCCCAGGCUGAGGACGAGGCCGACUAUUACUGUCAGUCAGCUGAUGUCAGUAGUGGUGAUGCUCACAGUGACACAGACAGACGGGGAAGUCUGCUCAUCAUCUCACAGAGUGGCCACCGGGGCCAGCAGAGAGUCCCUCGGCCCAGCAUCUGGAGCUGA